AACGAACGCUGGCGGCAUGCCUAACACAUGCAAGUCGAACGAGACCUUCGGGUCUAGUGGCGCACUGGUGCGUAACGCGUUGGAACCUGCCCUUAGGUUCGGAAUAACUCCCCGAAAGGGGUGCUAAUACCGGAAAAUGUCUUCGGACCAAAGAUGUAUCGGCGUUGGAUGGGCCCGCGUUGGCUUAGCUAGUUGGUAGGGUCAAAGCAUGCCAAGGCGACGAUCCAUAGCUGGUCUGAGAGGAUGAUCAGCCACACUGGGACUGAGACACGGCCCAGACUCCUACGGGAGGCAGCAGUAGGGAAUAUUAGACAAUGGACGAAAGCCUGAUCCAGCAAUGCCGCGUGAGUGAUGAAGGCCUUAGGGUUGUAAAGCUAUUUUACCCGGGAUGAUAAUGACGGUACCGGGAGAAUAAGCUCCGGCUAACUCCGUG
Molecule: ribosomal RNA, 433 nt
Filed under: uncultured bacterium
Lineage: Bacteria
Description: partial 16S ribosomal RNA
Rfam family: Bacterial small subunit ribosomal RNA
Source: RNAcentral